ACCUCGGAUCAGGUAGGGAUACCCGCUGAACUUAAGCAUAUCAAUAAGCGGAGGAAAAGAAACCAACAGGGAUUGCCUCAGUAACGGCGAGUGAAGCGGCAAGAGCUCAAAUUUGAAAGCUGGCCCCUUCGGGGUCCGCGUUGUAAUUUGCAGAGGAUGCUUCGGGUGCAGCCCCCGUCUAAGUGCCCUGGAACGGGCCGUCAUAGAGGGUGAGAAUCCCGUCUGGGACGGGGUGUCUGCGUCCGUGUGAAGCUCCUUCGACGAGUCGAGUUGUUUGGGAAUGCAGCUCUAAAUGGGUGGUAAAUUUCAUCUAAAGCUAAAUACUGGCCGGAGACCGAUAGCGCACAAGUAGAGUGAUCGAAAGAUGAAAAGCACUUUGAAAAGAGAGUUAAACAGCACGUGAAAUUGUUGAAAGGGAAGCGUUUGCGACCAGACUCGCCCGCGGGGUUCAGCCGGCAUUCGUGCCGGUGUACUUCCCCGUGGGCGGGCCAGCGUCGGUUUGGGCGGCCGGUCAAAGGCCCUCGGAAUGUAUCACCUCUCGGGGUGUCUUAUAGCCGAGGGUGCAAUGCGGCCUGCCUGGACCGAGGAACGCGCUUCGGCUCGGACGCUGGCGUAAUGGUCGUAAAUGACCCGUCUUGAAACACGGACCAAGGAGUCUAACAUCUACGCGAGUGUUCGGGUGUCAAACCCGUACGCGCAGUGAAAGCGAACGGAGGUGGGAGCCCCCUCGCGGGGCGCACCAUCGACCGAUCCUGCAUGUCUUCGGAUGGAUUUGAGUACGAGCGUAGCUGUGGGSACCCGAAAGAUGGUGAACUAUGCCUGAAUAGGGUGAAGCCAGAG
This 840-nucleotide ribosomal RNA is filed under the name Aspergillus fumigatus. Its description in RNAcentral is "eukaryotic LSU rRNA". It matches the Rfam family "Eukaryotic large subunit ribosomal RNA", at positions 1 to 857 of the family's 3401-position model. Lineage: Eukaryota; Fungi; Ascomycota; Eurotiomycetes; Eurotiales; Aspergillaceae. The record is from RNAcentral.